RNAcentral lists this non-coding RNA (148 nucleotides) under Thalassospira sp. RNAcentral's name for it is "FMN sequence". It matches the Rfam family "FMN riboswitch aptamer (RFN element)". From Rfam's summary of the family: The RFN element is a highly conserved domain that is found frequently in the 5'-untranslated regions of prokaryotic mRNAs that encode for flavin mononucleotide (FMN) biosynthesis and transport proteins. This element is a metabolite-dependent riboswitch that directly binds FMN in the absence of proteins. In Bacillus subtilis, the riboswitch most likely controls gene expression by causing premature transcription termination within the 5' untranslated region of the ribDEAHT operon and precluding access to the ribosome-binding site of ypaA mRNA. Lineage: Bacteria; Pseudomonadati; Pseudomonadota; Alphaproteobacteria; Rhodospirillales; Thalassospiraceae. The record is from RNAcentral.
GCUUAUUCUCAGGGCAGGGUGUAAUUCCUGACCGGCGGUAACCCCAAAAGGGAAGCCCGCGAGCGCCUGGCGGUUCAUCUGCCAGGGUCUAGCAGAUCUGGUGUAAAUCCAGAGCCGACGGUAAUAGUCCGGAUGGGAGAGGAUAAAG